GCGCAUGCUCAUCUACAGAAACGCCGCUUGGCCUUUGGACUACACCAUCUGUCGCUCGCUCUAACGAGCCGGCGUUGCCGCCAGGGGACGCUCGGGCCGCAGGAGGUCGCUGGGUCGUGAGCUGGCGCCGGGGACGCCGAGCGACUGCGGGGUUUCCCUCAGCGUCCUGCUAUCCGGCUGCCCGCCGCGCUCCUUGGUAGUGUCCGUGGGCGCGCAGGCCUUGAAGAACCUCCUCGUGGCGGGACCCCGAGCGCAGGAGAGGUGUCAAAGAGCUGGCGCGUCUCCAGAGCCCCGGGAGGAAGGCUGUAACGGCAGCCCCAUCGUAGACAGGGACAUUCGCAUCCCGAGCCCUGGAUCUCUGAAAACCAGCCCAGAAUUUGGAAGCUGGAAGGAACUUUAGAUCGUCCAUUCUGAGUGUCUCUCUUCGCUGGCGUUUUCCCACUGAGGUUAUGUAAACAUGAAGAGGAGCCUACAAGUGUCAAGGAAAAAACGACAGCUAACCACAGGGCAGGCCAUGGGCAAGAUAUCUCAGUGUUCUCCGCUCUCAUAGGUCAGAGUGAGACUCACCUAGGCUGGACUGCAAUGGUGCAAUCUCGGCUCACUGCAACCUCCGCCUCUCAUGUUCAAGCCAUUCUCCUGCCUCAGCUUUCCGAAUCGCUGGGAUUACAGGUCACGACCCCCAGGAGACCUGGAGGACUGAAUGCUGCUGCCCCCAAGGAGGAGGCUGCCGUCUUAUCCCAGGAGGGAGAGCAGGUGAAGUCCCCAGGGGAGGAAGCACCUAGCCCCAUUCCUGCUGAGCAGGAGGUGGCAGGUACCCCAGACUGGGAGGUAAGGACAGCCCGGGGCUUCGACUGAACGUCUCCAGCGUGGGUCCAACUGAGCAGCCAUGGAGCACUGCAGAGUGGGAGGCAGCAGGGCAGGGAGGCAGUGCUGGAGGCUGGCUCAACCCCAAGACCAGCAGGCCAAGCUGCCAUCCCAGGGGAGCGAGGACGUCUGUGCAGAGCUGAGAGGCAGCAGCCAUGUGUGAACAGACUGGGCCUCAUCCUGGCCCCACCGACUUUGUGUGGACAGAGCCUGUUUCCCUGUCUGUGCAACACAGAACCUGCCUGAUCUCACUGCUGGAUCCCUCUUCUUCCUGCCAGGAAAAUAAAAAGGUUCAAAAGGAAGUUGCUGCGUAUCCAUCUGAGGCCUCUGAGGACAGCAAAGAGCAAAGGCCCUGGGACCGGGUCUACGUGCCCAUGACAGAGCUCUGGCUGGACUGGUUCUGAGCCUCUAACACCCCCAAGACUCAGAACCGUGAAGAAAAUCUUUCCAAUAAAUCCAAGAGUUGCUGCUGCUAUAGGCCAGGCUGCCACCUUUCGGGGCCUCCGUCUUCAGACAAACCCAGCCUGGCUUCAUCCACACUCCCUGUCCCCACAGCUGCAGGAACAGCACUUCCUGCCACCGAGCCGUGUGACCACAGUGGAUUGUCUCUGGAGGGGCCCAAGGGGGCCCUGGCCACCCUUCUGACUGACUCGGUGCCAGGGGACAGACCAACGUCCCUCUCGUGCUGACAGCCGGGCCGCACCCUGGCAUGAGGGCAUUUACAGAAAUGCUGGCGGAACUGCUGCCAGGGAGGCUGUAGGGUCCUCUGGCAAAAGAGGCCUCAGGUGGCUCCUCAGAGUGUCUGUGGUUCUCUGUCCCAGGCUGUUCCCUAAGAAGGUCUGCCCAGGACUCAGGUCACGACCCCCAGGAGACCUGGAGGACUGAAUGCUGCUGCCCCCAAGGAGGAGGCUGCCGUCUUAUCCCAGGAGGGAGAGCAGGUGAAGUCCCCAGGGGAGGAAGCACCUAGCCCCAUUCCUGCUGAGCAGGAGGUGGCAGGUACCCCAGACUGGGAGGUAAGGACAGCCCGGGGCUUCGACUGAACGUCUCCAGCGUGGGUCCAACUGAGCAGCCAUGGAGCACUGCAGAGUGGGAGGCAGCAGGGCAGGGAGGCAGUGCUGGAGGCUGGCUCAACCCCAAGACCAGCAGGCCAAGCUGCCAUCCCAGGGGAGCGAGGACGUCUGUGCAGAGCUGAGAGGCAGCAGCCAUGUGUGAACAGACUGGGCCUCAUCCUGGCCCCACCGACUUUGUGUGGACAGAGCCUGUUUCCCUGUCUGUGCAACACAGAACCUGCCUGAUCUCACUGCUGGAUCCCUCUUCUUCCUGCCAGGAAAAUAAAAAGGUUCAAAAGG
Molecule: unclassified non-coding RNA, 2213 nt
Filed under: Homo sapiens (human)
Lineage: Eukaryota; Metazoa; Chordata; Mammalia; Primates; Hominidae
Description: NDUFA6 divergent transcript (ENSG00000280613.2)
Source: RNAcentral